ACGCUCGACACCUACGGGAGGCAGCAGUGGGGAAUAUUGCACAAUGGGGGAAACCCUGAUGCAGCGACGCCGCGUGAGCGAAGAAGUAUUUCGGAUGUAAAGCUCUAUCAGCAGGGAAGAAACUGACGGUACCUGACUAAGAAGCACCGGCUAAAUACGUGCAAGCAGCCGCGGUAAUCUGGAGCGGGCUGGCAAGGC
Molecule: ribosomal RNA, 198 nt
Filed under: uncultured bacterium
Lineage: Bacteria
Description: partial 16S ribosomal RNA
Rfam family: Bacterial small subunit ribosomal RNA
Source: RNAcentral